Long non-coding RNA from Oreochromis aureus, 568 nucleotides. RefSeq lists it as uncharacterized. The transcript is spliced from 3 exons. NCBI's taxonomy places the organism in Eukaryota, Metazoa, Chordata, Actinopteri, Cichliformes, Cichlidae. The record is from RefSeq and is a predicted model, not a curated record.
CCCAUGGACACUAAAUUUCUCGCUCCAUUUUCAUUUCAUUUCAUUUAUUUAUUUAUUUAUUUUAUUUAUUUUUUGUUUUUUUGUCUUCAUUUGUAUCUUCUCUGGUUCUUGAUGUGUAGAGCUUGGGGCUGAAGAAACACAAACCCAUUCCGUUUCUUUAUUUUAUAUUGAGAAAAUGACCAUAAUCAGUCUAUCAAAGUCUGUUACACUGUUGCUUUUGUGUCUCACUGCCAGGAAACCAGUGGGACCACGGAAAUUCACAGUUCCCAUUUCAGAGGUUCAUUAUAUGAUUUGUUGGUGUCAAGGCUGCCUUUAAGAUAAAAGGGACGAUGAUAAAGGGAAGAAGAACACUUUGAGCAGAUGGCUGGCGGCCAUCUUCCCUCAAAAUAUUUGAACCUGUUCUCAUUUGUGAAGAGAAUGGCAUGCCAGCCAGUUCUGGUAUUCUCUGGGGAAUGUUGGUCAAUUUGCAUGGCGCUGGACUGUGAGGACAAAUUUCACUAAAGGACUGUUGUUUGUUUUUUCUCUUCCUCUUUGCACAAAGACUUUGGUCCCAGAGCUUAGUUGAUGC